CCUACGGGUGGCAGCAGUGGGGAAUAUUGCACAAUGGGGGAAACCCUGAUGCAGCGACGCCGCGUGAGUGAAGAAGUAUUUCGGUAUGUAAAGCUCUAUCAGCAGGGAAGAAAUAGCGACCUUUGGGUCGCCAGACGGUACCUGAUUAAGAAGCCCCGGCUAACUACGUGCCAGCAGCCGCGGUAAUACGUAGGGGGCAAGCGUUAUCCGGAUUUACUGGGGGUAAAGGGAGCGUAGACGGCAGCGCAAGUCUGAAGUGAAAUGCCGGGGCUUAACCCCGGAACUGCUUUGGAAACUGUGCAGCUAGAGUGCAGGAGAGGUAAGUGGAAUUCCUGGUGUAGCGGUGAAAUGCGUAGAUAUUAGGAGGAACACCAGUGGCGAAGGCAGCAUACCGGCGCUCAACUGACGCUCAUGCACGAAAGUGUGGGUAUCGAACAGGAUUAGAUACCCCAGUAGUC
RNAcentral lists this ribosomal RNA (458 nucleotides) under uncultured bacterium. RNAcentral's name for it is "partial 16S ribosomal RNA". It matches the Rfam family "Bacterial small subunit ribosomal RNA", at positions 338 to 795 of the family's 1533-position model. The record is from RNAcentral.